CCUGGCUCAGAACGAACGUUAGCGGCGCGCUUAACACAUGCAAGUCGUGCGAGAAAGGGAGCAAUCCCCGGUAAAGCGGCGCACGGGUGAGUAACACGUAGGUAACGUGCCCCCAGGUGGUGGAUAACCUUCCGAAAGGAGGGCUAAUACAGCAUAAGACCACGGCUCCGAAAGGGGCUGAGGUCAAAGUCGGCCUCUAUUCAUAAGCUGACGCCAGGGGAUCGGCCUGCGGCCCAUCAGGUAGUUGGUAGGGUAACGGCCUACCAAGCCAAAGACGGGUAGCUGGUCUGAGAGGAUGAUCAGCCACACUGGAACUGAGACACGGUCCAGACUCCUACGGGAGGCAGCAGUGGGGAAUCUUGCGCAAUGGGCGAAAGCCUGACGCAGCGACGCCGCGUGGGUGAUGAAGGCCUCGG
Molecule: ribosomal RNA, 416 nt
Filed under: uncultured bacterium
Lineage: Bacteria
Description: bacterial SSU rRNA
Rfam family: Bacterial small subunit ribosomal RNA
Source: RNAcentral